UGCGAAUCAAACACCAGGCAAUCACAACCAUCCAUCCAUCCGACCAGCCAAAAACGCUAGCGUGACAAAGAAUCUCCACACGAAGCCGGAUCUAAAUUUAAAAUUAAAUCCCGUUAAAUGCGGUGAAAGUCGCCCACACCAGGGAACGCGUAUAAAUAACGGCCCGGCAGAGGCGCCAGCCAAAGCCUCUCUCCGCAACGGAAAAUUAAGAAGAAAAAAAAAGAGAGAAGGAAAUCGCAAAGUUCGGGUUAGAGAUCCGGCGAGCCUCGUCGGGUUUCGACCACCUGAAUUCGAAUCAUUAGUUUUCGGAGCCCCGAAACGCACCGUUUCUCUCCUCUCGUCGACUUCGAGUUCUCCGAAAAUGAAGGGCUCGGGCCCUCUGGUCGCAUCGGUAGUCGCCGCCUCCACCAUGGCUCUGACGACGUCGUCUUCGUCCAACCAGGGUUUUUCUUCCCCGGCGACGAAGAACGGCGGGAAAAAUUCGCAUACGGCGUCGGACAAGGAUAAGUUCGAGCCGAGAUUCGACGGUUUGAGGUUCAUUGAGACGCUGGUGACGGCGCACAGAUGAUUAAUUUGACGGCGGAGCUCUAGAGUUAGUUGUAAUUCCCGCCAUUAGAAUUCAGAGGAAAAAAACCUUGUACUUCCUUUUCUUUCCCCUUUAGUUUUUCUUAUUUUUCCAAAGUUGAAGACUUUGGCGUUGAUUUGUGAUUGGGUCUCUUUUGGGUGUUUAAUUUGGGUUCUCCAAUCUCAUAAUUCACAUCAAUUAGCAUUUAAUCUUAUAUUAAUUAAAUGAGAAGGUUUUUUUCUUAUUUAA
Molecule: long non-coding RNA, 814 nt
Organism: Malus domestica (apple)
Lineage: Eukaryota; Viridiplantae; Streptophyta; Magnoliopsida; Rosales; Rosaceae
Source: RefSeq, a predicted model, not a curated record